Molecule: unclassified non-coding RNA, 200 nt
Filed under: soil metagenome
Description: partial contains internal transcribed spacer 2 and large subunit ribosomal RNA
Source: RNAcentral
CGGCUUGAAAUGCAGGUGCAGCUGGACUUUUAUCUGAGCUAAAAGCAUAUCUAUUUAGUCCUCGUCAAACAGGAUUAUUACUAUUGCUGCAGCUAACAUAAAGGAUAAUUGUCCUCAUUGCUGACUGAUGCGAUUGAUUACGACACUUAUGUGUUGUUCAACUCGAUCUCAAAUCAAGUAAGACUACCCGCUGAACUUAA